This 592-nucleotide ribosomal RNA is filed under the name uncultured fungus. Its description in RNAcentral is "eukaryotic LSU rRNA". It matches the Rfam family "Eukaryotic large subunit ribosomal RNA", at positions 23 to 641 of the family's 3401-position model. Lineage: Eukaryota; Fungi. The record is from RNAcentral.
ACCCGCUGAACUUAAGCAUAUCAAUAAGCGGAGGAAAAGAAACCAACAGGGAUUGCCCCAGUAACGGCGAGUGAAGCGGCAACAGCUCAAAUUUGAAAUCUGGCCUCACGGUCCGAGUUGUAAUUUGCAGAGGAUGUUUCUGGCAAGGUGCCUUCCGAGUUCCCUGGAACGGGACGCCAUAGAGGGUGAGAGCCCCGUCCGGUUGGUCGCCGCGCCUAUGUGAAACCCCUUCGACGAGUCGAGUAGUUUGGGAAUGCUGCUCUAAAUGGGAGGUAUACGUCUUCUAAAGCUAAAUACCGGCCAGAGACCGAUAGCGCACAAGUAGAGUGAUCGAAAGAUGAAAAGCACUUUGAAAAGAGGGUUAAAAAGUACGUGAAAUUGUUGAAAGGGAAGCACUCAUGACCAGACUUGGGCCGGUUGAUCAUCCGUCGUUCUCGGCGGUGCACUCUGCCGGCCCAGGCCAGCAUCAGUUCGUCCCGGGGGAUAAAGGUUUCGGGAAUGUGGCUCCUCCGGGAGUGUUAUAGCCCGUUGCGUAAUACCCUGGGGUGGACUGAGGUUCGCGCUUUCGCAAGGAUGCUGGCGUAAUGGUCUU